Molecule: ribosomal RNA, 496 nt
Filed under: uncultured bacterium
Lineage: Bacteria
Description: partial 16S ribosomal RNA
Rfam family: Bacterial small subunit ribosomal RNA
Source: RNAcentral
GAUGAACGCUGGCGGCGUGCCUAAUACAUGCAAGUCGAGCGAACGGACGAGGAGCUUGCUCCUCUGACGUUAGCGGCGGACGGGUGAGUAACACGUGGAUAACCUACCUAUAAGACUGGGAUAACUUCGGGAAACCGGAGCUAAUACCGGAUAAUAUAUUGAACCGCAUGGUUCAAUAGUGAAAGACGGUUUUGCUGUCACUUAUAGAUGGAUCCGCGCCGCAUUAGCUAGUUGGUAAGGUAACGGCUUACCAAGGCAACGAUGCGUAGCCGACCUGAGAGGGUGAUCGGCCACACUGGAACUGAGACACGGUCCAGACUCCUACGGGAGGCAGCAGUAGGGAAUCUUCCGCAAUGGGCGAAAGCUUGACGGAGCAACGCCGCGUGAGUGAUGAAGGUCUUCGGAUCGUAAAACUCUGUUAUUAGGGAAGAACAAAUGUGUAAGUAACUAUGCACGUCUUGACGGUACCUAAUCAGAAAGCCACGGCUAACUACGC